RNAcentral lists this ribosomal RNA (492 nucleotides) under uncultured bacterium. Its description in RNAcentral is "partial 16S ribosomal RNA". It matches the Rfam family "Bacterial small subunit ribosomal RNA", at positions 29 to 507 of the family's 1533-position model. The record is from RNAcentral.
AGUGAACGCUGGCGGUAGGCCUAACACAUGCAAGUCGAACGGCAGCACAGUAAGAGCUUGCUCUUACGGGUGGCGAGUGGCGGACGGGUGAGGAAUACAUCGGAAUCUACUUUUUCGUGGGGGAUAACGUAGGGAAACUUACCCUAAUACCGCAUACGACCUACGGGUGAAAGUAGGGGAUCUUCGGACCUUGCGCGAUUGAAUGAGCCGAUGUCGGAUUAGCUAGUUGGCGGGGUAAAGGCCCACCAAGGCGACGAUCCGUAGCUGGUCUGAGAGGAUGAUCAGCCACACUGGAACUGAGACACGGUCCAGACUCCUACGGGAGGCAGCAGUGGGGAAUAUUGGACAAUGGGCGCAAGCCUGAUCUAGCCAUACCGCGUGGGUGAAGAAGGCCUUCGGGUUGUAAAGCCCUUUUGUUGGGAAAGAAAAGCAGCAGGUUAAUACCCCGCUGCUCUGACGGUACCCAAAGAAUAAGCACCGGCUAACUUCGUG